RNAcentral lists this ribosomal RNA (450 nucleotides) under Microbacterium sp. RNAcentral's name for it is "bacterial SSU rRNA". It matches the Rfam family "Bacterial small subunit ribosomal RNA", at positions 406 to 866 of the family's 1533-position model. Lineage: Bacteria; Bacillati; Actinomycetota; Actinomycetes; Micrococcales; Microbacteriaceae. The record is from RNAcentral.
GGACGACGGCCUUCGGGUUGUAAACCUCUUUUAGCAGGGAAGAAGCGAAAGUGACGGUACCUGCAGAAAAAGCGCCGGCUAACUACGUGCCAGCAGCCGCGGUAAUACGUAGGGCGCAAGCGUUAUCCGGAAUUAUUGGGCGUAAAGAGCUCGUAGGCGGUUUGUCGCGUCUGCUGUGAAAUCCGGAGGCUCAACCUCCGGCCUGCAGUGGGUACGGGCAGACUAGAGUGCGGUAGGGGAGAUUGGAAUUCCUGGUGUAGCGGUGGAAUGCGCAGAUAUCAGGAGGAACACCGAUGGCGAAGGCAGAUCUCUGGGCCGUAACUGACGCUGAGGAGCGAAAGGGUGGGGAGCAAACAGGCUUAGAUACCCUGGUAGUCCACCCCGUAAACGUUGGGAACUAGUUGUGGGGUCCAUUCCACGGAUUCCGUGACGCAGCUAACGCAUUAAGUU